GACGAACGCUGGCGGCGUGCUUAACACAUGCAAGUCGAACGGAAAGGCCCUGCUUGCAGGGUACUCGAUUGGCGAACGGGUGAGUAACACGUGGGUGAUCUGCCCUGCACUUCGGGAUAAGCCCGGGUAACUGGGUCUAAUACCGGAUAGGAGCCAUUUUUCGUGUGAUGGUUGGAAAGUUGUUUAGGUGUAGGAUGAGCUCGCGGCCUAUCAGCUUGUUGGUGGGGUAAUGGCCUACCAAGGCGGCGACGGGUAGCCGGCCUGAGAGGGAGGACGGGCACAUUCGGACUGAGAUACGGACAAGACUCCGACGCGAGGCAGAGGUAGGGAAUAUUGCACAAUGGGCGCAAGCCUGAUGCAGCGACGCCGCGUGGGGGAUGACGGCCUUCGGGUUGUAAACUCCUUUCGCUAGGGACGAAGAUUUUUGUGACGGUACCUAGAUAAGAAGCACCGGCUAACUCCGUG
Molecule: ribosomal RNA, 465 nt
Filed under: uncultured bacterium
Lineage: Bacteria
Description: partial 16S ribosomal RNA
Rfam family: Bacterial small subunit ribosomal RNA
Source: RNAcentral